RNAcentral lists this ribosomal RNA (484 nucleotides) under uncultured bacterium. RNAcentral's name for it is "partial 16S ribosomal RNA". It matches the Rfam family "Bacterial small subunit ribosomal RNA", at positions 30 to 507 of the family's 1533-position model. The record is from RNAcentral.
AUUGAACGCUGGCGACAGGCCUAACACAUGCAAGUCGAGCGGAUGAAGGGAGCUUGCUCCUGGAUUCAGCGGCGGACGGGUGAGUAAUGCCUAGGAAUCUGCCUGGUAGUGGGGGAUAACGUCCGGAAACGGGCGCUAAUACCGCAUACGUCCUGAGGGAGAAAGUGGGGGAUCUUCGGACCUCACGCUAUCAGAUGAGCCUAGGUCGGAUUAGCUAGUUGGUGGGGUAAAGGCCUACCAAGGCGACGAUCCGUAACUGGUCUGAGAGGAUGAUCAGUCACACUGGAACUGAGACACGGUCCAGACUCCUACGGGAGGCAGCAGUGGGGAAUAUUGGACAAUGGGCGAAAGCCUGAUCCAGCCAUGCCGCGUGUGUGAAGAAGGUCUUCGGAUUGUAAAGCACUUUAAGUUGGGAGGAAGGGCAGUAAGUUUAUACCUUGCUGUUUUGACGUUACCAACAGAAUAAGCACCGGCUAACUUCGUG